GGGGGCGACAGGCUUCGACAGGGGCUUGUAUAGAUCUUUGGAUGCACGUCGGGCUUUUUGUAGGUGAGCCCGUUAACAAAACUUGCAAAACACAAAUGCUAAUCAAGAAUUAGCUCUUGCUGCUUAGUUUAAUUACUAACCACAAGUGUCUUACCGGAAGUCAGCUUAGAGCGACCGGAUAAGGCAUAACCCAGUCAAAGCUAGGGCACGUUCACCGCCUGCGGACGUGUCUGAAAUGUUAGUCAGGCUGGUUUUCGACAAGGUUCGCCCGAUUGCUUACUUGUCGAAAAUGAGAACCGAGCAAACGGGCUAAACGUGUAGAUUUCACUGGUCGCAACCUUUGGAUGCGGGUUCGAUUCCCGCCGCCUCCACCA
This 374-nucleotide transfer-messenger RNA is filed under the name Acidobacteriota bacterium. RNAcentral's name for it is "Acidobacteria bacterium transfer-messenger RNA". It matches the Rfam family "transfer-messenger RNA". Rfam says of the family: Bacterial tmRNA, also known as 10Sa RNA or SsrA, is named for its dual tRNA and mRNA-like properties. Its role is to liberate the mRNA from a stalled ribosome. The record is from RNAcentral. Lineage: Bacteria; Pseudomonadati; Acidobacteriota. RNAcentral also lists the same sequence under 2 other names.